RNAcentral lists this long non-coding RNA (14203 nucleotides) under Oryza sativa (Asian cultivated rice). RNAcentral describes it as "long non-coding RNA (OSAT_LNC000999)". Lineage: Eukaryota; Viridiplantae; Streptophyta; Magnoliopsida; Poales; Poaceae. The record is from RNAcentral.
GUGGCCACCAAGGGCGGCGCUCUCUGCCUCGGUGUGGUGGACGGCGGCGUGGCGUCGGAAACGUCGGUGGUGAUCGGCGGUCACAUGAUGGAGGACAACCUGCUGGAGUUUGACCUGGUGGGAUCGCGGCUGGGGUUCAGCUCCUCCCUCCUGUUCCGGCAAACGACCUGCAACAACUUUCGCCUCGGCUAGAUGUGCAACGCAUGGCAGUCGCCACUGCAGCUUAGCUUACUAUCUCAAAAAAAAAAAAGAUGCUUUGCAUUUCUUUGUGCAAUCGUGUGAAGUUGUUGGAAUAAAUUGUUCAUCCAUUACAACUAGUCAACCAGCGUAGGCAUUUGACUUGGAUCUACUUGUUCUUUACCAUAUCCUUGAUAGUGAGAGGUGGCGUUUGACUGAAACAACAAUUUGGAAUCAAUUUUGCUAUAUAUUAUCGAUAAAUUUUCUUCUAAAAUAUUGACUGAUGUAAUUAUAGUACAAUCGUAAUGUAAUUUAAUUUUGCUAUAUAUUUAUCGAUAAAUUUUCUUCUAAAAAUUUAAUAUAUAUAAUUACAGUAUAAUUGUAAUGUAAUUACACUGUAACUUGCAUGCAACUAUAAUGUAAGCAUGUAACUUUCACAUAAUUUUAAAUCGUUAGAUCUAUUCAAAUGAAGAAAAAAAGUCGCUGUGUGCACAUAUGUGUGAGGGUUCGUUCCACGACCUCCGUUUGACGGAAAUAGCAUGUUACGGAGAGACUUUUGAAAGUUACAUACAAGCUGUAUGUAAGUUACAGUGUAAUUACAUUAUAAUUGUAUUAUAAUUAUAUCUAUCAAACUUUUAAGAGAAAAUUUAUCGUAAAAUGUAUAGGUAAUCUCAAGCACUUGACCUUACUUUGUCAGCAAAUGUAAUCAACCGUCGCUGCUUGUGCAGUCUUCUCCCAUUUCAGCUCCCCUCGCUCCAGCUGAUCAGCACUGGUCCAGUUUAGAUUAGUUGGAUGAGUUGGAUACCAUCAUCUCAUCACCCAUACAACAAUGGCCACCCCUGCAAAAGGCUGUGCAGAUGGUUUGCCUGCCUGCAUGGUGGCCCGCAAUUGGUCGAGAACAAAGGUCGCAAUUCGCACAUGCCCAGACCGUCAAAUACUACCAGCAUUUUCCUUGCUAUAACAGCAGAGUUCCGUUUCCACUUCGGCGUCUCGUACAGUCGUACUCUCGCUCGGCCCGCGACUAUACAGUCUGCCCUACCAGGCUACCACCGCCAUCCAUCGCCGUUGUAUUCUGGGAUGGUGAUUGGUGCGAGAGCCGAAAUACCAAACCGCGCGCGAGGGUGCGCCCUAUAAAUAUCCUUCCUCGCCGCUGCAAUGGUUCACACCCCAUCGGAAUAUCGCAUCCUUCCUCUCAGAAGAAUGGCACGCUUUCCUCCUCCUCUCGCUUCCGGCGCUCUCCUCCUCCUGCUCUUCGUCUUGGUCUCGCCGUGCCGCUCGGCGGCAGGAGGCCGGCCGAGAGCCGUGGUGCUGCCGGUGAGCAAGGACGACGCGACGCAGCAGUACGCGACGGUGUUCCGGCAGCGGACGCCGCAGGUGCCCGUGAAGGCCGUGCUGGACCUCGCGGGCGCCACGCUCUGGGUGGACUGCGAUACCGGGUACGUGUCGUCGUCCUACGCGCGUGUCCCGUGCGGGUCCAAGCCGUGCCGCCUCACCAAGACCGGCGGCUGCUUCAACAGCUGCUUCGGCGCGCCAUCCCCGGCCUGCCUCAACGGCACCUGCAGCGGGUUCCCGGAUAACACGGUCACGCGCGUCACGGCUGGCGGCAACAUCAUCACCGACGUGCUCUCGCUGCCCACCACCUUCCGCACCGCGCCGGGGCCGUUCGCCACCGUGCCGGAGUUCUUGUUCACCUGUGGCCACACGUUCUUGACCGAGGGCCUCGCUAACGGCGCCACCGGCAUGGUGUCCCUCAGCCGCGCCCGCUUCGCGUUCCCCACGCAGCUCGCCCGAACCUUCGGCUUCUCCCGCAGGUUCGCGCUCUGUCUCCCGCCGGCCUCCGCAGCUGGCGUCGUCGUAUUUGGCGACGCGCCUUACGUGUUCCAGCCCGGCGUGGACCUCUCCAAGUCGUCGCUCAUCUACACGCCUCUGCUCGUCAACGCGGUGAGAACGGCGGGGAAGUACACAACGGGGGAGACGUCGAUCGAGUACCUCAUCGGCUUGACGGGCAUCAAGGUGAACGGCCGCGACGUGCCACUGAACGCGACGCUCUUGGCAAUCGACAAGAAUGGCGUAGGCGGCACCACGCUGAGCACGGCGUCUCCUUACACCGUGCUGGAGACCUCCAUCUACAAGGCGGUCAUCGACGCGUUCGCGGCCGAGACGGCCACGAUCCCCCGUGUGCCGGCCGUGGCACCGUUCGAGCUGUGCUACGACGGGCGCAAAGUAGGGAGCACCCGCGCGGGGCCAGCGGUGCCGACGAUUGAGCUGGUGCUGCAGAGGGAGGCCGUGUCGUGGAUCAUGUACGGGGCAAACUCGAUGGUGCCCGCCAAGGGCGGCGCGCUCUGCCUUGGCGUGGUGGACGGCGGCCCCGCGCUGUAUCCGUCAUCGGUGGUGAUCGGCGGGCACAUGAUGGAGGACAACCUGCUGGAGUUUGACCUGGAGGGGUCGCGGCUGGGUUUCAGCUCCUACCUCCCGUUGCGGCAGACGACCUGCAACAACUUUCGCCUCGGCUAGCAGAUAGCAAUACUGUGGGCAACCUGUAGUAGCCAUGGACCCAUGGUAGCUAAUACUAUCAACUAGUACCUACAUUUCUAAUUUUCCCUUUCUACUUUGUUGUUAGAAUUGCUCAUGAACCGCCAGAUGCCGUAUCCACGCAUCCACGGUUUCUGAUCGCCUAUUCGGACAAUGAUUUAAAAGUUGAUUGUUUUUUCCAAAAUAUACUAAUUCGAAGCUCGGGAUAUUACAACCGGCGCUACUACAAAACUCAUUUUCACGUACGGCUAAAAUCCCUUUUCUCAGGCGGUGGAGUGUCCGCCUGAAAUUGCACGUAUGUGAAAAAAUGAAUUUGACAUAAAAGGGCACCACAACUGCGUGUGAAAAGUAAUUUCGCAGGCAUGUGCAUUAAGACGUUCGGCUGAAAAAGAUUUUUGGCAAAAAGUUAAAUACAAAUUUUGAAAAAAAAGUUUUCCGGAAAGAUAAUAUCAAUGUUAUAGAUAUGGCGUACCUUGUAUACCUAUAUUGGUCACCAUCGAAAAUAUUGUAUACCUAAUGUUAUACUGAAGGAUAUAUCUAAGACAAAAUUACAUGUAAGGAAGGAAUUCUGCUUGUUUAGGGAAGGAUUAUGGAGUCUAACCCGAGAAAGAUAGGUAUUUGUCUGCCCAUACCUUACUUAGGGUUCCCAAGUUUUACUUGCACAAGGGGUAGCCUUUCAAUAUAAACUAGCCACUUAGUCGCACUUGUGCGACUUUGAGCGUUAGCGUACCUACCUAUAUAAUUAGACUUGAGACAUUGAUCCUAACAUUAAUUGAAGGUACCGGUUUUGUAAGUACUUUAAUUUCUUUGUUUUCAAAUAUACUCCAUUAAUUCCUAUAUAUAAGUAUUUCUAGUUUGUUUAGUAAAGAGUAAGAUUAAGGAGGAAUGAUUUCUUUCGAUCACUUACUAUCAAAUUUUGAACUACUCCGAUUGGCUCUUUCGAACACCUGAUUGGCUAAAAAUACUUAGAUAUGCAUUGAAAUUAGUGUCCUAGAAAUGCUUUAUAUUUCUAUAUAAAAUUUGCCAUAAUACUUAUUUUGGGAAUGAUGCAGUAGCAAGAGAUGUAAAUGGAGGAAUGCUGUAAUUGAUUGACAUUAUAAAGUAGAUGAAGAAAUUAAAUAGGAUAUGACUAUGUUGGUUAAGAUGAGAGAGUAGGUGUAGAAAUAGCUAUAUUUUAUGAGAAAUUUUGAAUGUUAAAAGCACCUAUAUUUUAGAACGGAGACAACAAUAACACUAAGUGAUCCUAAGUGUAGUGUGUGCGUUUGUAGGGACUGUUUUAAAAUAAAAUUGGUACACAGUGGAUACUACUUAGUUGCUGUGUGUUGCUCCAAUACCAAGCAAUCAAAAGUAGUAUACAUUAUAGAUAUAAAUUUGCAUAUAAAUUCAAUAUAAAUUUACGGGUAAGGCGUCAUAUUUUUUUUCCUUUAUUUAGCCAGGAGAUUAAUUAAGCAAACAUAUAUAUAGUGUUAAAAAGACUUUUUUUAACGGUAGUGUUAAAUAGACUAAGCACAUGAGUUCUCUGCUUUUUGAGGUCUUUAGUCUAGAAGCAUCCGGAUUGGUCCAACGUGUUUCCACUGUCAUAGAUGAGCAUGAUGAUCCAACGGUGUAUUUUCAUUUACCAGUUCAUCCAACGGUCAAUACAUUGUAGAUGAUGUGGCUUAUCCUCCUUUUAGAAAGCUUGUUGCUUUCAUAUAUUUAGAUACCAAGCCCCCAGAGAGGGGAGGACAUCUAAUUACAACUUGUAAGUCAUAGAUACAAACCACACUGAGAUUACACCACGAGGAAGCCCUACAGAUAGCUAGCCACAUAAUACAACCCACUGCCUUGUUUCUCAUGAUUAAUUUGUUUGCUUCUCCUUUAUACUGAAACUAAAGUAGUGUUAUUACCCUUCUUGAGGGCUCGAACUUAGUAUCAAAAUCAAUGUUACUUGUCUCUUUAUUCCAUACUGGUGCAUAUGUUGGUAUCAGUUGUACGCUACGUUCAUAAAGUACCGUUGUCGGGUAUAUAACAUGUCGAUACCUAACUCCCCGACAAAAUCGGCAAAUUAAUAAAAAUUCGUCGACGAAGCCGCUGCCAUUGGUGCAGUCCGCCAUCAUCCCCGACCCUUCCCGUCGGUAGAUCUAGAGAGAUAGAUGUGCACGUGGCGGCCGUCUCCAUUGCUUUUUGUGCCCUCCUGUGGCCGCUUCUAUCAACCAAUCGAAUCCCGACGCCUUCGCCUCAACCGCUUGAAGCAGCCGUCGCUAGGAAGGGAGAGGGGCAUAGGAAAGACGGAGAGGUCGCCUGAAGAAAGGGAGGCAACAGGAAAGAGGCCGGGAGAAGUGAGAGAAAGACUUAGCCGCCUUUUCUGUGGACAAUGCCUUUUAUAUUUGAUUGUUAUUUUCUCUUCACCGGAAAGGAGGCAACAGGAAUGAGGGAGAAGUGAGAAGGAGACUUAGCUGCUCCUUUUGUGGCCAAUGCCUUUUGUAUUUCAUCGUUAUUUUCUCAUGUGGUAUAAUUUUUAAAGCGAACAUCUUAAAAGCCCACCUAUAAAAAUCAACCUAUCUAUAAAUAUAGGGGCUUGAACGGAGAUCGAUAUAUAUUUUCGCAUGAGGGUGAUUCUCUAUAAAAUGACUUGUGAGUUGUCAGCAACACAAGCGUCAUAGGUUUUCUCCGAGAUUCUAACCAGAGUUUUACUCCAUUAUAUCAGAUUAGCGACAAACGGUAAGUCGUCACCGCGUCAGGGGCUCAGGACAGGGACAUGAUCACAGGAUCACAAAGAGCACAGUAAUAUAGGAUCCAUUCCCUUUGGAUCUCAUCUCACCCAUAAAAAACAUGUUAAUUUGUUCAAAGAUCGCACUUGCCCAAACCUUAAAAUACAGGAGCAGCACUAGCAAGUGGUAGAAGAGUUAUAUUCCGGAGGUCCACUUCGCGACCUGGCGCGGUCUCGCCCCUGCGCCUGCGUCUGCGCGGCGACCUACCCUCCUGGCCGCGCGUGGGCGCGCGCUCCAUAAAAACCAUUCGAUCCUUCACUACCGUCACUGCACAUCCUUGGUUUUCCCAGCAUGGCAUGCCUACCUCCUCGUCUCGUUCUCGCUUCCACCGCGCCAGUGCUAGUGCUACUGCUCUUCGUCCCGCUCUCGCCGUGCCGCGCGGCUUCAGGCAGUAGCCCGAGCGCCGUGCUGCUGCCGGUGGACAAGGACGGCGCAACGCAGCAGUACGUGACGAUGUUCUGGCAGCGGACGCCGAGUGUGCCCGUGAAGGCCGUGGUUGACCUCGCGGGCGCCAUGCUCUGGGUGGACUGCGAGUCCGGGUACGAGUCGUCGUCGUAUGCGCGCGUGCCGUGCGGGUCCAAGCCUUGCCGCCUCGCGAAGAGCGCCGCCUGUGCCACCGGCUGCUCCGGUGCGGCGUCCCCGGGCUGCCUCAACGACACCUGCACCGGGUUCCCGGAGUACACUAUCACGCGCGUCAGCACCGGCGGCAACAUCAUCACAGACAAGCUGUCGCUGUACACCACCUGCCGCCCCAUGCCGGUUCCGCGCGCCACCGCGCCGGGGUUUCUGUUCACCUGCGGUGCAACGUCCCUGACCAAAGGCCUCGGCGCCGCGGCCACGGGCAUGAUGUCCCUUAGCCGCGCCCGCUUCGCGCUCCCCACGCAAGUCGCCUCCAUCUUCCGCUUCUCCCGCAAGUUCGCGCUCUGCCUCGCGCCGGCUGAGUCAUCUGGCGUCGUCGUUUUCGGCGACGCGCCCUACGAGUUCCAGCCCGUCAUGGACCUCUCCAAGUCACUAAUCUACACCCCGCUACUCGUCAAUCCGGUGACCACAACGGGGGGUGUCCACGGCAGGGGACAAGUCGACCGAGUACUUCAUCGGUGUGACGGGCAUCAAGGUGAACGGCCGCGCCGUGCCCCUGAACGCGACGCUGCUGGCCAUCGCCAAGAGCGGAGUGGGCGGCACCAAGCUGAGCAUGUUGUCCCCUUACACCGUGCUGGAGACCUCCAUCUACAAGGCGGUCACCGACGCGUUCGCCGCCGAGACGGCUAUGAUUCCCCGUGUGCCGGCCGUGGCGCCGUUCAAGCUUUGCUACGACGGGACCAUGGUGGGGAGCACCCGCGCGGGGCCGGCCGUGCCGACCGUCGAGCUGGUGCUGCAGAGCAAAGCCGUGUCGUGGGUGGUGUUCGGGGCGAACUCUAUGGUGGCCACCAAGGACGGCGCGCUCUGCUUCGGCGUUGUGGAUGGAGGCGUAGCCCCGGAGACGUCGGUGGUGAUCGGCGGACACAUGAUGGAGGACAACCUGCUGGAGUUCGACCUGGAGGGGUCACGGCUGGGUUUCACCUCCUACCUCCCGUUGCUGCAGACGACCUGCAACAGCUUUCACCUUGGCUAGCUAGCUAGUAUAUAGCAAUGCCGGCAGUUGCCAGGGUAGCUCAUUUGUUUUCUUUUUAAAUAAAUGAUACAAACACAAGCCCAUGUUAAAUUUAAGAUUUGAACCUGGUGGACAGGUUCCACCACAGGAAACCUGAUCAGUUGAGUUAUACUCACUUUGUAUAAAUUCUGCAUUUCUGUAUGUGAUAGUGCGAAGUAUCUCGGUGCUAGCCUUUUGCAAUCUCUGUUGUAAUGAAAAAACAUCAGUAAAUUUGGCGAAAUCAUACAUACUUUUAGGGGAAUUCUUUUAAUCUCUCGGCGGAUGUUAUCAGUUUCUUGUUUCUUGUCUGUCUAAAAAUUAUAUAUAUCCUAAAAAACUAUAAGAUAAAUUAAUACCCAAAUUAAUAUGUGAUAUACUAUUUCACAAACAUGCACGUUUAAAUUUGACUUCUACAAGUUAAAAAAAAUAACUAUAAGCACACGCAUACUAUUUAGAGUUAAAUUUGUUAUAACCUAUGGAGAUCAAAAUUGAACUUAAACUUACAUAUUUCUGAAGUAAUAUAUUGCAUAUUAUUUUAUCUUGCUAUUUUUUAAUUCUUUAUAAUUAUUUAAAUGACAUGCAAAAACGAUGAGGCAUCCCCUUAAGAGAUUAGAAUCCAUUUCACACUUGACAUCUUUAAUUUUUACCAAGUACACCCUCUGUCUUUGAAAAAACUAAUUUUCAAGAAUGAAUGGAUGGAUGCUUAUUCAGAUUCGGUCAUAGAAUUUUUUUUCGGAGGGAGCAAAUAUGUUUUAUCUAAAUUAUCACACUACUACAAAUUCAUGAUUUUAUAUCUCAUAGAACUAUGAAAUUUAAGCUAAGUCGUCGUUCAUAAAACUAGAAGUUUAGACUCCACCAGUACGUGCAACGCCAUGUCGCCGACGAAUAGAGUCUCGCACUCUCGCUAGUCUGAAGAAAAUGAUAGGUUUUGACGAGAAAAACUACAUGUUUGACAUGUAUAACUCACUUGUCUUGUAGCGGUUCAUGUGAAGGUGGAGCUCUAAAACUAUAGUUAUGCAAUAACUUGAGUGUAAAAUUUGUGUUUCUCCUGUAGAAAACAUCGAAUGCUAGUUUAGCAAAGUUUAUACGGUGUUACGAAAAUUACUCAUUUUUUCAUGUUGACUUGGAUGUUGUACCUCACACUAUAGCGGUAGCAUGUCCUCGUAACACUGCACACUCCACCGGGAUAAAUGCUACUCCUAUCAGGGCCCCUCCAUUACUACAGAAAUUAAAGCACUUUGGUGCUUGUUGGAAACCCUCUUAGAUGCUGGUUAUAGAACCGGCAUCUACAUUGGUAAGAUGUCGGUUUUUACGUUUUAGAACCGACACCUUUAAGGUUUUACGAAUAAAAAAAAGCCGACUCGGCUGAUGCAUCGAGCCGAGUAGAUCCCUUUCACCCCGACCAAUCAAGAACACACCCGAUUCACAUGAACAAGAACAAUAACACAAUCUCAAUUCCUUCAACUCGAUUCUUUUGCAUGAACAACAACAAGAACACAUGAGAAACAAGAACAUAAAUCCGAUUCUUCUGCCGCCGCCGUCUCCUCCACUCUCGCAACCGCCUGCCUCUGCCGCCGCCGCCUUCCCUCUCACCACCGCCUGCCUCUGCCGUCCCCGUCCCCCCUCCUGUCGGGCCGCCGCUCCCGGUAGGAUCUGGCGGAGGGCGCUGUUGCCUCCCGCUGCGGCACCUCGUGUUGGGCCGACGCCUCCCCUCCCCGGCGGAUCUGGCAGAGGGGAGGCGCCGUGGCCAUCUCCACCGCCAGGACGCCGCCGCCGCCGCUCGAUGGGGUGGGUGCAUGAGAGAGCCGAGGGGAGGGAAGAGAAGGAAGAAGAGAGAGAGAGAGGUGGGUAAGAGAAGGAUGGAUGGAUAAGAACGGACGCCUCCCUUCCCCGUGCGGCUCAGUUUUAUGGGGUGUCAGUUGUUUAAAAACUGGCAUCUAUAAUAUAUUAUAAGUGUUGAUUUUUUUAAAAAAGCUGACACUUAUUCCUUUUGCCACAAAGAUGAUGGUUCUUGGGUGGGCCUAGCGCCAACUAAAAGAUGUUAGAUUUAAAUUAAAACCGGCAUCUAUUUCUGACAGGGGUAAAAGGUGUCGGUUUUUUAAAAAAACUGGCACCUAUUAGGAGAUAAAGAUGCCGGUUCUUGGUAUUUUGGUGGGCUGAUGGGCGUGUGGGUAGGAAAGGCACUAUAUUUGUUGGUUUUAUCACUUCCGUCACUAUAUGUUUUGUAGUAGUGCUCUACUGUUGGUUUGACUAGUGCAGUCCAUGCAAGCGAAUUGAACAAAAUAUCUGUUCGAUCGCUGUGAAAAUUGAUUCGUGGGAUGAAAAUCUCAAUCUCACCUGCGUCCGCCCUACCCACUCGUGUGACCCUAUGAUAGGAAAUGUUUUUGCUCAUUGGAAGUCGCUUUUUUCACUAAGAGAGCCAGCUAAAUACUGAGGUGGAGGAGAGAAGAGAGGAGAGAGGAGAAGCGGACUGUAAACUUAUAGCCGGCUUGUACACAAGAACUAAGAAACUCUGUGAGAGAGACAAGUGGACCAUUUAUUAAUUGUAAAGAGCUAACUAUUUAUACGGGUAGACUGAGAGAAGACUACAAAGAAUAUUAUAGCCAAUAGGUCGGUUGCAUUAUUAGCCUUGCUCUAAGAGUAGGUACAAUAGCGAGCUAUAAACCAGCUAUAAACAUAUUUUAAAGAGAUAAAAGAAAGAGAGAGAAGAGCAGCGGGUUACAGAUCUGUAGCCAGCUGCAGCAUGGACUCCAAGAUGUAAUAUGUGUAUGACAGGUGAGAUCAGGUAUUAAUAGUAUAGUAAGCAACUAUUGUAUUAAUUGGCUAUUAUAAUAUUGACUAUAGAUGAUUUAGAGUUAGUAGAUAGCUAUUCUAUUAAACUUGCUCUAACACACAAGUCGACUCUCAGUUUGCUCGGUCCGAUCCUUUUGUGCGCACGGUUCAAUUUUAGCCUAACAUUGGAGCUACUCUCACGCUGUCACGCACAAAAGCCUCUCCAAUACUAGUAAGCUUGAUUUUCUUGUUCCUCCCGUAGUCUGUCUCUUCACGCCCACUGGUAAAAUUUCUAUGGAUGAGGUAAUUCCCAAUUCAAAAAAUAGCUAUUCCUACUCAGCAGCGAGGGUUUUAGGUUGGAGACGGCGACAAAUGGUGCCCUAGCUAUCAUGGCAGGAAGCAAGCCCUGGAGGACAGAUCACAGUAAUGCAUGCUUUGCUUUGGAUGAGUCAGAUCUCACACACCCAAAAAUGGCAAAUCCUGCUACGGCUACUUUGUAGCCUUGUACACGGUUCGUGACAAAAUCAACGAUGACGAAGCCGUGGAGAUGGUAAGUAACAGGCAAAGCUCUCGUUUCAUUCUUUACAUAUCGUCCCAAAGUUAUGAUUUUCUUAAAAAGAACAAUAAAAUAAUAAGAUAGAUUAGUAUACAAUAUAUCACUUCACAAAAUUCUAGUUUAAUAUUAACUUCUACAAGUUGAAAAAAAAUAAAUAUGACUUUGAGCAUAUGUGUACAAGUUACAGUUAAAUCUAUUACUUUUGUUACAACUUGCGGCUAUCAAAUAUAAAUUUGCAUGUUUCUGGAGUUAUAUAUCACAUAUUAAUCUAUCUCGUCUUUUUUCUCUUUAAAUUUUUUUAUUACUCCCUCCGUCCUAAAAAAUAAGCAUUUUUAGCAUAGUAACGAGUCAAACAUUUUUAACUUUAACUAUUAAUAGCAAAGAAAUAAAAAAUAUAAUCAUGUAAAAUUGAUGUUACUAGAUUUAUCAUUAAACAAACUAACAUAAUAUGCAACUAUUUUUAUUUAAAACAUCUUACUUUUAUAGAUAUUGUUUGUCAAAGUAGCAUCUCGGAGACUGUAUCAGGAUCAAAAAAUACUUAUAUUUUAGGAUGGAGGGGUACUAUUUAAGUAAUAUAUCUCAAGGGGAUAUUAAAAUCCAUUUUUCCUAACUAACAUUGGUUAAACUGGCCCAACAAAGAGGUAGUAGGUCUGGACUUUGAUCCUAACCACGUUAAGGCCUUGUUUAGGGCCCCUUUGAUUUGGAGAAAAAAAUAUAGAAAUUUUGGAGGAUUUUAAUCCUAUAGGAAAAUUUUGUAUGAAGCCCUUUGAAACAUAUGAUUGAAUCCUAUCUAAUGCUUUGAAAUUCCUAUGAAAUUGACAAUCCUAUAGAAAUUAUGGAGGAAAUUUAGCAAGAGGUUCAACCUGAACCUCUUGGUAACUUUCCUUUGAGUCUCUCUCAUCCAAUUCCUAUGUUUUUAUUACGGUUCAAUCAAAUGGUUAUUUCUGUAUUUUUUCCUGUAUUUUGCAAUCAUCUGUUUUACACUUAGGGCCCAUUUGAAUCACAGGAAUGAAAAAAAUGGAAGAAUAGAAAAAACAUAGGAUUCUGACAGGAAUUCUAGUGUAAAACAGAGGAUUGCAAAAUACAAGAAAAAUAUAGGAAUGAAUGUUUGAUUGGGCCGCAGGAAAAUCACAUAAAUUUGAGGAGAGAUAAAGACUCAAAGUAUUCUUUCCAUGAGGUUCUACCUUUGAAUCAUAGGAACGAAAAAACAAAGGAAUAGGAAAAACAUAGGAUUCUGAACAUGAGAGAGAUAGACUCAGAGGAAAUUUUCCAAGAGGUUAGACCUCUUGCUAACUUUCCUCCAAAAUAUACAUAGGAUUACCCAUUCCAUAGGAAUUUUAAAGGAUUGGAUAGGAUUCAAUCCUUUGUUUCAAAGACCUUCAUAGGAUUUUUUUUUCCAUCGGAUUGAAAUCCUCCAAAAUUUCUAUAUUUUUCCUACAAAUCAAAGGGCCCUAAUUUCCUAAAAAAACUUGCAUGGGAAGAGGCAUUCCAUAGGAAUUUCAUAGGAUUCCAUAGAAUCCAUUCCUUUGAUUCAAAGGGCCAUAUAGGAAAAAUUCCUAUAAGAAUAAAAUCCUCUAAAAUUCCUGUAAAUUUCCUUUGAAUCAAAGGGCCCAUAUAUUCCUAUCAAAAUCCUAUGUUUUUUCAUAUUCCUACGUUUUCUCGAUCCUGCGAUUAAAAGGAACCCUUAUUUCCUCCAAAAUGGCAAAAGUUUUGCUGUUUUAGGGCACUUUUUGCCAAAAUAGAUCUCAACACUAGUAGCAAAAGUUUGUAAUUUGGCAUUUGUCAUUUGGAAGUCUAGAGUAACAAAUUUUGGUAAAAAGUGUGUUGGAAGCCGUGCUCUCUCUCUCUCUGCCUUUACUAGUAAAAUGGCAAAACUUUACCAUGCAUGUAAACACCAACUAGCAAAACUUCAAUGCCAAAUCUUUUACCACCAAAACUUUUUUAAAAAAAAUUAUCAGACCAAAUUAAUCUAAACAGGCCAUAAGAAAAUGUACUCCGUACAUGUAGUACAGAUGAUCUAGGCGUGCGUGCAUGCAUGCGUGGCCCGCCAUGGACGCGUCCAAAGAUCGCACAUCUCCAGACCGUCAAAUACAGCUAGCUAGUACCAGAACAGCAGAGUUCCCUGUCCACUUCGUUGUCUCGCCCCGCGGUGGGCAGGUUGCGCGCCACUACGUACUGCCCAACCCUCGCCGCGGUAUCGUAACUCGUAAUAAGAGGUUGAGACUUGAGACGGGGAGACCCAAAUCGCUCGUGUUGCGCCUAUAAAUGUCGUUGAUUGCCGCAUCAUUACUUCACAAGUUCACAUCUCCAUCCCCAUCGAGUUCUUCGUUUUCUGACUCUUGUCAGCAUGGCACGCUUGCCUCCUCUUGCUGUGGCUUCCGGCGCUCUCCUCCUGCUGUUCGUCUCGGUCUCGCCGUGCCGCGCGGCGGCAGGCGGCGGGCCGAGCUCCGUGGUGCUGCCGGUGAGCAAGGACGACGCGACGCAGCAGUACGUGACGAUGUUCCGGCAGCGGACGCCGCAGGUGCCCGUGAAGGCCGUGCUGGACCUCGCGGGCACCAUGCUCUGGGUGGACUGCGACGCCGGGUACGUGUCCUCGUCGUACGCCGGCGUGCGGUGCGGUGCCAAGCCCUGCCGCCUCCUGAAGAACGCCGGCUGCGCCAUCACCUGCCUCGACGCGGUAUCCGCAGGCUGCCUCAACGACACCUGCAGCGAGUUCCCGAAGAACACCGCCACGAGCGUCAGCACCGCCGGCAACAUCAUCACCGACGUGCUGUCGCUGCCCACCACCUUCCGCCCCGCGCCGGGGCCGCUCGCCACCGCGCCGGCGUUCUUGUUCACCUGCGGCCACACGUUCUUGACCCAAGGACUCGCCGACGGCGCCACCGGCAUGGUGUCCCUCAGCCGCGCCCGCUUCGCGCUCCCAACGCAGCUCGCCGACACCUUCGGCUUCUCCCGCAAGUUCGCGCUCUGCCUCCCCCCGGCCUCCGCGGCCGGCGUCGUCGUCUUCGGCGACGCGCCCUACACGUUCCAGCCAGGGGUGGACCUCUCCAAGUCUCUCAUCUACACCCCGCUGCUCGUCAACCCGGUGAGCACGGCGCCGUACGGCAGGAAGGACAAGACGACCAAGUACUUCAUCGGCGAGACGACCAUCCAACUGAAAGGCCGCGUCUGGAGAGAAAAGUCAACCGAUUACUUCAUCGGCUUGACGGGCAUCAAGGUUAACGGCCACACCGUGCCGGUAAACGCGACGCUGCUGGCCAUCGACAAGAAAGGAGUGGGCGGCACCAAGCUAAGCACGGUGUCCCCCUACACCGUGCUGGAGAGAUCCAUCCACCAGGCGGUGACCGACGCGUUCGCGAAGGAGAUGGCCGCGAUCCCGCGAGCACCGGCAGUGGAGCCGUUCAAGCUGUGCUACGACGGGAGGAAGGUGGGGAGCACGCGCGUGGGGCCGGCCGUGCCGACCAUCGAGCUGGUGCUGCAAAGCACGGGUGCCUCGUGGGUUGUGUUCGGGGCGAACUCGAUGGUGGCCACCAAGGGAGGCGCGCUCUGCCUCGGCGUGGUGGACGCCGGCACGGAGCCGCAGACGUCGGUUGUGAUCGGUGGGCACAUGAUGGAGGACAACCUGCUGGAGUUUGACCUGGAGGCAUCGCGGCUGGGGUUCAGUUCAUACCUCCCGUCUCGGCAGACGACCUGCAAUAAUUUUCGCCUCGGCUAGCAUGUAGCAGUGCUGGCAUUUGCCCCGUUCCCAAGUAUGCAUGGCCAUACCUACAAAUUUUGGGUCCCCCG